RNAcentral lists this microRNA precursor (117 nucleotides) under Paramuricea clavata. The record is from RNAcentral. Lineage: Eukaryota; Metazoa; Cnidaria; Anthozoa; Malacalcyonacea; Plexauridae.
GGGGGAGGGCGAGGGUGGGAGAAGCUAGGGAAGGAAUGCGAAGGCGCCAUUUUUCCUCGCCCCUUUCUCUCGCCUUCGCAUUCCUCCCCUAGCUUCUCCCACCCUCGCCCUCGCCCU